CUAAAAUUUAUCUAAUAGUGUUUUAAAUUUUUGUUGUAAAUCAUUCGUCAUUUAACGGAGAAGAAAAUUAAAUACAUAUCAGCAUUUGAUGGCUUUGCUAAGAACUUGCUGUUUCUGUCUUUCACUGAGGCUCGGCUGUUAUAUAAUUGCAGUUUUGCAUAUUGUAACCUAUGUUUUCGAGCUUUUCAACUGCAAAGAGAUAUUCGAUCUAUUGGGACCGGAAGAAAAUGAAGACGACGAAAACAUAGAGCAGAAGAGCAG
This is a long non-coding RNA of Macrosteles quadrilineatus (aster leafhopper), 261 nucleotides long. RefSeq lists it as uncharacterized. NCBI's taxonomy places the organism in Eukaryota, Metazoa, Arthropoda, Insecta, Hemiptera, Cicadellidae. The record is from RefSeq and is a predicted model, not a curated record. The transcript is spliced from 3 exons.